This 253-nucleotide ribosomal RNA is filed under the name uncultured bacterium. RNAcentral describes it as "partial 16S ribosomal RNA". It matches the Rfam family "Bacterial small subunit ribosomal RNA", at positions 524 to 776 of the family's 1533-position model. The record is from RNAcentral.
UACAGAGGUCCCAAGCGUUGUUCGGAUUCACUGGGCGUAAAGGGUGCGUAGGUGGCGGGGUAAGUUUGAUGUGAAAUCUCCGGGCUCAACCCGGAAAAUGCAUUGAAUACUACUCUGCUGGAGGUUUGGAGGGGGGACUGGAAUUCUUGGUGUAGCAGUGAAAUGCGUAGAUAUCAAGAGGAACACCAGUGGCGAAGGCGAGUCCCUGGACAACACCUGACACUGAGGCACGAAAGCUGGGGGAGCGAACGGG